GACGAACGCUGGCGGCGUGCUUAACACAUGCAAGUCGAACGGAAAGGCCCUGCGUUUGUGGGGUGCUCGGGUGGCGAACGGGUGCGGAACACGUGAGUAACCGGCCCUAGACUUUGGGAGAAGUUAAGGAAACGGGGGUUAAGACCGGAUAGCAUACCCCGUUCCAGUGUGGGCGUUGGAAAUUCUCGGCGGGUGGGGAUGGAUUAGCGGCUUAUGAGCUUGUUGGUUGGGGAGUGGCUUACCAAGGCUUUGACGGGUAGCCGGCCUGAGAGGGUGACCGGGCACAAUGGGACUGAGAUACGGCCCAGAGUCCUACGGGAGGCAGUGGUGGGAAAUAUUGCACAAUGGGAGGACGCGUGAUGCAGCGACGCCGGGUGCGGGAUGACGGCCUUCGGGUUGUGAAACGCUUUCGCCUGUGACGAAGCGUUAGUGACGGUAAUGGGUAAAGAAGCACCAGCUAACUACGUG
RNAcentral lists this ribosomal RNA (468 nucleotides) under uncultured bacterium. RNAcentral describes it as "partial 16S ribosomal RNA". It matches the Rfam family "Bacterial small subunit ribosomal RNA", at positions 28 to 507 of the family's 1533-position model. The record is from RNAcentral.